UCCCUAGUGGUUCAGUGGUUAAGAAUCUGCCUUUAAUGCAGGGGACGCAGGCUCGAUUCCUGGUCAGGGAA
RNAcentral lists this transfer RNA (71 nucleotides) under Ovis aries (sheep). It matches the Rfam family "tRNA". From Rfam's summary of the family: Transfer RNA (tRNA) molecules are approximately 80 nucleotides in length. Their secondary structure includes four short double-helical elements and three loops (D, anti-codon, and T loops). Lineage: Eukaryota; Metazoa; Chordata; Mammalia; Artiodactyla; Bovidae. The record is from Rfam by way of RNAcentral.